Molecule: long non-coding RNA, 1787 nt
Organism: Rosa rugosa (rugosa rose)
Lineage: Eukaryota; Viridiplantae; Streptophyta; Magnoliopsida; Rosales; Rosaceae
Exons: 3
Source: RefSeq, a predicted model, not a curated record
UCUUUCAUCUUCCAUUCUAAAUAAUGCCAACCCUUUCAAUAGCAGAGCCGCCGUACAAUUUUGUUCCCAGAACGACAACCGUUCCUCCUCCUCUCCGUCUCCGUGAUGGGGAGGAGGAGCCGCCACCCAUCCGUUGCCCCCAAUCCUUGAUCUUUGUCACUACCCUACGGAAACCCUCAAUCAUUUUGAUCAUCAAAGUUACAAAGGAGGAGAAAGGCUAUUUUGUUCUUUGUUGUUGUCAAUAGAACAUCCCUGCUACUACUACACCUUCUCGCUAGCGUUUGUUGUGCGAAUCCAAUUGAUAAUUUCAAUCCUCAAGGGUGGAGCCUAGAUCAGGGAAAUUUCCACAACCUUUCAAACCGGGAUUGAGAGAACCCAGAAAACCCACACACCUUAAAGUUUUCGGUGCCACCCCUCUAGAUGGGUGCUAUGGCUCUAAAAGUUGCAUCUCCAUACCGAUCUGAAUGGAUCAUCCUCAUCAAUCUUAAUCACUAUGAACAGGUUUCCAAGACCUCCGGUGAGGACAACUAUCUCUUUUGUGCAUGACGGUGCUGUGACCUCUUGGACUAUAUAAACCAUGUAUCCCUUGCUGUAAUAAUCAAUGAGAAUUUGCUUCUGUCAUUUUUCUUCUUUCACAAUUCUUCUACAUUUUUACUCUUUAAAACCCAGGGACUCCUAUUAAGUGGUAUCAGAGCCCUUUUAUGGGGCCGAAGAAGGGUGGUCCACCGCCACCACCACCACCUUCACCUCCACCACCGCCUUCCAGUAGCUCAGAGUUUCCUCCAAUGCUGUCACAUCCUCGUUCUUCUUCCUCUUCGCGCCAUCCAGAUCCUAACCCACUAGAGUUGGAUCUUCAGCUACAUCGCGAUCAAACGUCAGCAAAUUUUCAUGACAUCAGGGAGUCCUUGGAGUAUAUGCGCUCUCAGAAUUCUGCUUUACGCUCGGAAUUGCUCGAAGAAAUUUGAUAGGAGCAUUUUAAUGCGACGUUUUAAUUGUUAUUUCCUCAUAUUUACUCAGUUAUUUCCUUAAAUGAAUCCUUCUUGUUUAGGAAAGUUACUAUUAUUAGGAAGUUUCUAUUUUUAGUAAUAGUUUCUAUUUUCAGGUCCUAUGGAGCAAACAAGCUGAAAUGAGCUCAAAAAGAGAAAGAAAAGCUAGAGGGCGUUGGGAGAAGAGUCCUGGAGGCACUAGGAGACCACAUGACUUGAAGAUGACACAUGGAGGCCCAAGAAUCUUAUGGAUUAAUUUGGAUUUUCGGCAAAUGGAGGAAGCCAUUUGGAUUUAGGGUUUUGCAUGUGGACGUCAAAGAGGGAUUUUUGGAGAAUAAAUCCUUAAUUGCCGUGAAUUAUCAAGAGAAGAUCACAAAGACAACGUGAAAAUCAAAGGAAGAUAAAAAAGAUUACGUUAGAGAAUGUCAAGGGAGAAUUUCAAGGAAGGGUGAAGUGUGUGCAACAAGAUAAGGCUCAAAACAAGUCCAGAUUAGUUCCUCAAUUUCCUCAAGAUGUGUUGGCCGAAAUUAAGGAAUUAAAAUCUGCAGUAUUAACGUGAAAAUCAAGAGAAAAUCAAGGGGAGGACAUUAAGGAUAAAGCCAUGGAGAGAUUUAAGGGAGAAAAUGGUCCAAAAUGUGUCCGGAUACAUUGUCUAGGUUCAUGCCUAGAUAUUUGGCCGAAAUUUAUGAAUAAAAUCAGAAAUAAUCCUUGAAAAUUCGGCAACAAUAUAUUAGGGACUUAUUCUGGAGGCUUGUGAUUGGAAAUCAUGCAUAUGAUUGUGGUUUUGAUCUUUGUUUCUUG